Molecule: long non-coding RNA, 440 nt
Organism: Rhineura floridana
Lineage: Eukaryota; Metazoa; Chordata; Lepidosauria; Squamata; Rhineuridae
Exons: 2
Source: RefSeq, a predicted model, not a curated record
UGGUGCUACCUGAUGGUGGGGUUCUAUCUGCAUUCCAGGCUAUACAUCUCUGAGAAAUGUGGAAACAUGAAGUUGCUCUGCUGGUUUGCCUAUAUUGUACUGAUGUGGAAAUGUGAAGAACUGAAGACUGAAACCAAAACUUAUGGAUUCCUCCACCUCUAAUUCUUAGAAGUGUUGGAUUAAGCCUUCAUACGAGCAAAGAGGACAGCUGAGCUACCAAGGGAACCACUGUUGUCCCCAAAUCUUGACUAACUUGCCUUUUGUUUUCAAGUAAACAGUCUGCAUGUGCACUGUAAGAGCCAGAGAAGAUAAGAGCAGAACCUAUAACAUUCAACUACUGCAGCAAGCUAGCGGGGCUCCAAGAUGACACUUGAAAGAAAAUGUUCAGAUGCAUCCAUGGGUUGCACCUGCACCAAUAAAAAGGGUGUUAUUUUUUUAAA